GUGUUGCAUGGCUGUCGUCAGCUCGUGUCGUGAGAUGUUGGGUUAAGUCCCGCAACGAGCGCAACCCUCAUCCUUAGUUGCCACCAGGUAAUGCUGAGUACUUUAAGGAAACUGCCAGUGAUAAGCUGGAGGAAGGUGGGGAUGAUGUCAAGUCAUCAUGGCCUUUAUGGAGUGGGCUACACACGUGCUACAAUGGUGUCUACAAUGGGUUGCAAGGUGCGCAAGCCUAAGCUAAUCCCUAAAAGACAUCUCAGUUCGGAUUGUACUCUGCAACUCGAGUACAUGAAGUUGGAAUCGCUAGUAAUCGUGGAUCAGCAUGCCACGGUGAAUACGUUCUCGGG
RNAcentral lists this ribosomal RNA (341 nucleotides) under Wolbachia endosymbiont of Macrosiphum salviae. Its description in RNAcentral is "bacterial SSU rRNA". It matches the Rfam family "Bacterial small subunit ribosomal RNA", at positions 1038 to 1378 of the family's 1533-position model. The record is from RNAcentral. Lineage: Bacteria; Pseudomonadati; Pseudomonadota; Alphaproteobacteria; Rickettsiales; Anaplasmataceae.